CGCGCAUGCGUGGUGCAAAGCGUCUUCAGGUCGGGCGGCAGAUCCGGGCGAGUGCUGCGGUCACGGCAGCCACCGGCAGCCACCGUCCGGCAUGAAGGUCUGGGAUCUGGCUGCUGCCUGCACCUCGCUCCGGCACCAUGGAAUGCCUGCGGACUUUGCCCUGCCUCCUGCCUCGCGCGGUGGGACUUCCCCGGCGGAAGCUGCGUGCCCUGGCCUUGGACUUGACCUCCGUGGCUCGUCCCGUUGCUGCGUGCUGCCGCGCCGCCGACCUGGUUGGAAAGAGCCGGGCGGCGCAGCUCUGCGGGCCCGGCAGGCUCCGUGUGGCAGGUGAAGUGCACCGGUUUAGAACUUCUGAUGCCUCUCAAGCCACUUUAGCCAGUGUAGCCCCAGUGUUCACUGUGACAAAAUUUGACAAACAGGGAAAUGUUACAUCUUUUGAAAGGAAGAAAACUGAAUUACACCAAGAGUUAGGUCUUCAAGCCAGAGAUUUGAGAUUCCAGCAUGUAAUGAGUAUCACAACCAGAAACAACAGGAUUAUCAUGAGAAUGGAGCAUUUGAAAGCUGUGAUAACUCCAGAGUGUCUUCUGGUACUAGAUUAUCGUAAUUUAAACUUAGAGCAUUGGCUGUUCCGGGAACUCCCUUCACAGUUGUCUGGAGAGGGUCAGCUCGUUACGUACCCUUUACCUUUUGAGUUCAGAGCUAUAGAGGCACUCCUGCAGUAUUGGAUCAACACCCUUCAGGGGAAACUUAGCAUUUUGCAGCCACUGAUCCUUGAGACCCUGGACGCUUUGGUGGACCCCAAACAUUCUUCUGUAGACAGAAGCAAACUGCAUAUUUUAUUACAGAAUGGCAAAAGUCUAUCAGAGUUAGAAACAGAUAUUAAAAUUUUCAAAGAGUCAAUUUUGGAGAUCUUGGAUGAGGAAGAGUUGCUAGAAGAGCUCUGUAUAUCAAAGUGGAGCGACCCACAAGUCUUCGAAAAGAGCAGUACUGGGAUUGACCACGCAGAAGAGAUGGAGUUGCUAUUGGAAAACUACUACCGAUUGGCUGACGAUCUUUCCAAUGCAGCUCGGGAGCUUAGGGUGCUCAUUGAUGACUCACAAAGCAUUAUCUUCAUCAAUCUGGACAGCCACCGUAACGUGAUGAUGAGGUUGAAUCUACAGCUGACCAUGGGAACGUUCUCACUUUCGCUCUUUGGACUAAUGGGAGUUGCUUUUGGAAUGAAUUUGGAGUCUUCACUUGAAGAGGACCAUAGAAUUUUUUGGCUGAUUACAGGAAUUAUGUUUAUGGGAAGUGGCCUUAUCUGGAGACGCCUGCUUUCAUUCCUUGGACGACAGCUAGAAGCUCCGUUGCCUCCUACGAUGGCCUCUUUUUCUAAAAAGACUAUUCUGGCAGAUAGAAGCAUGGAAUUGAAAAACAGCCUCAGACUAGAUGGACUCGGAUCGGGAAGGAGCAUCCUAACACACCGUUAGCAGCAGCCCUGUGGAUACUCAAGCUCUUUAUGGUAGCCACAGGAAACCUCUGAGUCUAGUCCUCUUUCCAGAUGCAGCUCCAGGCCCGUGACCUCUGCAGGCCCUUCCCUGACUCCACCAGCAGAGACUUCCACUGCAGUUGCUGGCUGACCUCCUUUGGCUGUUGGUCAUCAUAUAUUGACCUGGAUGGUCUCAUGGGUCCGUUGAAUUUUCCCACCUAGACUCCAAGUGCCUGGGGCUGGGACCAUGUCCCAGGUUUGUCUGUCUCACAGGUGCUUGAUAGAACACUGCUCAUCAUACACUGAGUUACUGCUCUGUUGAGGCUUCUGAUGGAAGGCGGCCCCAUGAGAAGUUUCAGAAAUACAGAGACAGUGACAGCACUACCUGAGAUGCUGAAUCCUGAUUCUAGUUUGUUAUGACCAACUUCAUUACUGAAUGCGCUUAGGCCAUAGAAACAUAACUUGUACCCAAAUCUCAGCAAAAGGCCACUCUGAUCAUCCUCUGAUUGUCAGUGCCCAUUUUGGAAACAUAACAUCUGAUUUACCUUUUUACCCAGAGAACUCAAUGCCCCCAAGCUCAGGUAUGUGCUGGAAAAGUAAAGUAAUUUUAACACUAACCCAGAUGAACAAUAAUUAGGAAGUUGCAUUUUCAAUGUUUUAUAAAAAGUAAUCAACUGACCAGGUGCGGUGGCUCAUGCCUAUAAUCCCAGUACUUUGGGAGGUCAGGGCAGGUGGAUCACCUGAGGUCAGGAGUUUGAGACCAUCCUGACCAAUAUGGUGAAACCUGGUCUCUACUAAAAAUGUAAAACUUAGUUGGGCGUGGUGGUGGGUACCUGUAGUCCCAGCUACUCAGGAGGCUGAGGCAGGAGAAUCACCUGAACCCAGGAGGCGGAGGGUGCAGUGAGCCGAGAUUGCACCAUUGCACUCCAGCCUGGGCAAAAAGUGAAACUUCAUCUCUGAAGAAAAAAAGGGGAAUCAAAUAUAAAUUACUUUUGGAAAAUCUAUAUAUACCACUACUUUCAAUUGAUUCAAGUUAUAGUUAAUAUAUGUAUAGUUUUAUAAUACAUGGGGGUUUUGAUGUCUAAUUUUUGAAAUAAAUAAAAUUUUAAAUAUAAGCCAAGCUUGUGAGGCUUCCUGUGGUCAGAUCUUUCGAGAAUCUUCUUCUAAAAUUAUUAACCAUCUUUUUGUUGUGUGGUUAAUCCUACAUUUUUAGACCGCCCUAUAAAUGGGUCACUUAAAUUGUUGGCCUCUAGAGGGCAGUUUCACCACAAUUUUUCUUGAUUUCCUCCUUCUACCUUCCACACUGGUCAGCAGGAGCCUGGUUCACAGCACUUACCAAGUCUAAUCUGUGAAGGCUUCCCUAGCCCUUCAACCCACUGUUAAGACUCAUUCUUCAUACUAUUCAUUAGCAUUUAACCCUAGAGCAAUAAAACUCUGCCUUUCCAUGUAUAUAAAUCUUAUUUUCAAGAACAGGGACUUUGCCUUCUCUGUCUCUCAGAGCCUAGCACAGUUCUAUACAGUGUCAUAACCUAAAAUAAAUGGGUGGAUGCAAUCGGUGCUUUAGAGGUAUAUUUUAAGGUUAAACAUUUUUUUGUUUUACUGGAGUGCAGUGGCGUGAUGUGGCUCACUGCAGCCUCCACCUCCCGGGGUCAAGCGAUUCUCCUGCCUUACCUUCCCGAGUAGCUGGGACUACAGGUGUGCACCACCACACCCAGCUAUUUUUUGUAUUUUUAGUAGAGAUAAAGUAGAUAAAACCUUAGUUUUAUCAUGUUAGCCAUGCUGGCCUUGAACUCCUAACCUCCAGUGAUCUACCUGCCUCAGCCUCCCAAAGUGCUGGGAUUAUAUGUGUGAGCCACCAUGCCCAGCCAAGCUUAAACGUUUUAAACCACCAUAUCGAAAUUUAAAAUGUGUAUACUUUUUGAUCUAGCAAUCCCACUUUUAAGAUUCUCACCUGUGGGAUAUUUGCUCAAUUAUAAAAAAUAAAUAGGUAUAAGAAUGCUCACUAUGGAAUUGCUUGAAAUAGCCCCCAAAAAAUGGGAGGGCCAAGACUUAUGGAUCAGUUGACCCCAGGAGUUCAAGACCAGCCUGGUCAACGUGGUGAAACCCUGUCAGAGCCAGACCUUGUCUAAAAAAUGUGUGUGUGUGUGUGUGUGUGUGUGUGUCUGUGUGUAUAUCUCUAAAGUCAUAGAAAAACUCUGGGCUCAGUGUGGUGGCACAUGCCUGUAAUCCCAGCACUUUGGAAGGCAGAGGCGGGCACCUCACUUAAGGCCAGGAAGGAGUUCGAGACCAGACUGGACAACAAGGCAAAACCCCUUCUCUACAAAAAAUUUAAAAAAAAAAAAAAAAAAAAAAAUUAGGCAUGGUGGUGGACACCUGUAAUCCCAGCUAUUCAGGAGACUGAGGCUGGAAAAUCGCUUGAACUGGGGAGGAGGAGGUUGCAGUGAGCCAAAUUUGCAUCACUACACUCCAGACUGGGCAACAGGGCAAGGUUCUAUGUAAAAAAAAAAAAAAAAGGAAAAACUGAAAGUCUGGGAGAAAACAGCAAACUGUUAACAAUGGUUAUCCUCUAGGGCAA
RNA transcript from Callithrix jacchus (white-tufted-ear marmoset), 4043 nucleotides. It is a transcript of the gene named magnesium transporter MRS2, with no coding region annotated. The record is from RefSeq and is a predicted model, not a curated record. Lineage: Eukaryota; Metazoa; Chordata; Mammalia; Primates; Cebidae.